This 363-nucleotide ribosomal RNA is filed under the name Aeromonas enteropelogenes. Its description in RNAcentral is "partial 23S ribosomal RNA". It matches the Rfam family "Bacterial large subunit ribosomal RNA", at positions 176 to 585 of the family's 2925-position model. Lineage: Bacteria; Pseudomonadati; Pseudomonadota; Gammaproteobacteria; Aeromonadales; Aeromonadaceae. The record is from RNAcentral.
GAGGCGAACCGGGAGAACUGAAACAUCUAAGUACCCCGAGGAAAAGAAAUCAACCGAGAUUCCCUCAGUAGCGGCGAGCGAACGGGGAUUAGCCCUUAAGCAUCUUGGAAGUUAGUGGAACGGUCCUGGAAAGGCCGGCGAUACAGGGUGAUAGCCCCGUACACGAAAACAACCUUGAUGUGAAAUCGAGUAGGGCGGGACACGUGACAUCCUGUCUGAAUAUGGGGGGACCAUCCUCCAAGGCUAAAUACUCCUGACUGACCGAUAGUGAACCAGUACCGUGAGGGAAAGGCGAAAAGAACCCCUGUGAGGGGAGUGAAAUAGAACCUGAAACCGUGUACGUACAAGCAGUGGGAGCCCUUC